GAUGUUACUGUCCUCUGUCCCCUCCACUUCUAAAACGGGAUGACGAUCUUUCUUACUGCCAGUAUGCUAUGCAGCAACGUUUGAGGAAAGCCAAUGCCUCCGGGAGCCGUCUCUGAAAUCACAGCUUAAUGGGCAGAGGCAGAGUCCUGCCUGUCUCAGAACCCUCUGGGAACCAAGAAUUUCUGUUUCAGAUGAUCAGUUCUGCUCUUUGAGUUUCCAGAGUUUUGAGGGAGUAAUAGACCCCAGCGCAAUGGCACAGCCAAGAUUAUCUGGCUACCAUUUUUGUUUCUCCUAAGUCCAUUGGCGUAUGGCUCCAGGUGUACCUCUCCAGCACCCGUCAUGUGUCUGACUCAGAGUGGCCCUCAAUAAAUGAUUUGUCAUAUGA
This is a long non-coding RNA of Hyaena hyaena (striped hyena), 385 nucleotides long. RefSeq lists it as uncharacterized. The record is from RefSeq and is a predicted model, not a curated record. The transcript has 2 exons. Lineage: Eukaryota; Metazoa; Chordata; Mammalia; Carnivora; Hyaenidae.